GACGGGGGCCCGCACAAGCGGUGGAGCAUGUGGUUUAAUUCGAUGCAACGCGAAGAACCUUACCUGGUCUUGACAUCCACGGAAGUUUUCAGAGAUGAGAAUGUGCCUUCGGGAACCGUGAGACAGGUGCUGCAUGGCUGUCGUCAGCUCGUGUUGUGAAAUGUUGGGUUAAGUCCCGCAACGAGCGCAACCCUUAUCCUUUGUUGCCAGCGGUCCGGCCGGGAACUCAAAGGAGACUGCCAGUGAUAAACUGGAGGAAGGUGGGAUGACGUCAAGUCAUCAUGGCCCUUACGACCAGGGCUACACACGUGCUACAAUGGCGCAUACAAAGAGAAGCGACCUCGCGAGAGCAAGCGGACCUCAUAAAGUGCGUCGUAGUCCGGAUUGGAGUCUGCAACUCGACUCCAUGAAGUCGGAAUCGCUAGUAAUCGUGGAUCAGAAUGCCACGGUGAAUACGUUCCCGGGCCUU
This 469-nucleotide ribosomal RNA is filed under the name uncultured Enterobacteriaceae bacterium. Its description in RNAcentral is "bacterial SSU rRNA". It matches the Rfam family "Bacterial small subunit ribosomal RNA", at positions 912 to 1382 of the family's 1533-position model. The record is from RNAcentral. Lineage: Bacteria; Pseudomonadati; Pseudomonadota; Gammaproteobacteria; Enterobacterales; Enterobacteriaceae.